RNAcentral lists this long non-coding RNA (214 nucleotides) under Mytilus galloprovincialis (Mediterranean mussel). The record is from RNAcentral. Lineage: Eukaryota; Metazoa; Mollusca; Bivalvia; Mytilida; Mytilidae.
GGGCAGUGAUAAUGCGACCGAACAUGGGUGGCACACUCUAGUCCUUAAUGAUGUUGUAGACCUGGAGAUUAUAAAGGUAGUCUAACCAGUUGAGUUAGGGAAGAUCUUCUUUGGCUCAAUUGGUUAGAGCGCUGCCUUUAGAUCCCGAGAUUGAGGGUUCGAAUCCCGCUGGUACCAUCCAUGGAUUUUCACAACAAUGAUACUAGUAUGUCUC